UAUAAAGUGAGGAGGUUGAGCUACAUGGCAUCUGACUUACUCCCAAUCUGACUGCUGUUUACUCUGAAGCCAUGUGAGUAUGAGGAGACAGAGAAGAGGGAAGGAUGUGGGACAUGUGGCCCAUGUGAGACAACUGACCCAGACGGGCUAAAGCGAGAGGAGGAGGAGGACCCAGUGGCUCAGAACUCUCAGCCUCAAGGGUGGAAACAGGGUGAGAGGGAUUAACAUACUGGGACACUGGUCUUCUCCUUCCUUUGGACUCAGACUCAGACUUAGACUGGAAUUUACAACAUCAACUCACCUGGGUUUCCAGCUUGCCAACUUCAGAUCUUGGACUUCUCAUCUUCUAUAAUCAUGAUCUGUUCCAGAAGGAACUGCUGGAUCAAAGCAUGUGCGAACUCUUAAGGCUUCUGAUACAUAUUGCCAAAUUACCACUCGAAGGACUUACCAGCAGUGAAUGGGAGAACCUCUUCCCCAGGGUCCUGACCCACCCAACCAUAAACACACAAUAAGGAAGUAAGGGGGAUGGGGGAGGGAUAUUAAUGUUUUAAUUUGUUCUU
Molecule: long non-coding RNA, 560 nt
Filed under: Homo sapiens (human)
Lineage: Eukaryota; Metazoa; Chordata; Mammalia; Primates; Hominidae
Description: HSALNT0291504
Source: RNAcentral